GUUCGCUAUGCUUGUAAAUUAAUACAGGCUAGAGAUUCAAUUCAAGAAAGUUCGGAAGGUGCGAAAUAUUAACAAGAUUCCGAUAGUCGGGUCCAGGUCCCGACCAUUGGAAUGUAGGCCUGCGCCGAACGUAUGCGCAGAACGGUCUUUACAUCAAUAAUCGGAGAUUAUAACGGUCUUUAUAUCAAUAAUCGGACGAAAUCGCAGAUUCGACUGCGCAUCCAAUCUCGUUCCCCGAGCCUGCGAUCCUCGGGAAGGAACGUGAGGCUCUGGGAUAAUCCGUUUCAGGGAGGAAUCUGAUUGGCCGAAUUGGCCGUUGAAAUGGAAUGCGCAGUACAAUCUUUAGCCAGGAUUCCUUGCUUCCGGCAACGGAUUAUCACAGAGCCUCACGUUCCUCCCCGAGGAUCGCAGGCUCGAGGGACGAGAUUGCUGCGCAUCGAAAUAACGCGUUCUGCAAAGGGAACAAAAUUGCUGUUGAACCACAACAUCUACUUGAUGCAUUUCAAAGUAAGUGUUUAAUCAUUGUUUGUGUUUCAUUUAUAGUCACAAUAGAAUUCAAAUUAAAUAAUUUUUGUACUACCAUAUAUUUUGGCUACUGUGUAAAGCAAAAUAAAUAAAGGCACACCUAAGGGAAUAUAUUUUCUAAUUUAAAGCGAAUCAACGGUACUGCGGAAAUGAUUCUGUUGCAUAUUCAAAUAAUGAUUGAACAGUUGAAUACUUUGAUAUGCAUAUUCUAAUUAUUGCAGUCUCAACUACAUGUUAUAGUUCGACUGCAAUUUGUUCUCUGCGCAGAACGCGUCAUAUGGAUGCGCAGACGAAACUCCGAUUUAUGCAUAACAGUCCUUCCACUUGGGUUAGCAGUGGACAGGAAACCGUUGAGAUUAUAUCAUAAUAUUAAAUCCGUCACAUUCUUUACAAAUCAAAUUGUUAGGUGAAUAAAUCACUUGUACUAUCCAGCAAAUAUCGUCUAUUUCUACAUCUCUUCUAAUCAGUUAAAAACCGUUUUGGACACUACAUCAGUGAGGUCUCUUGAUGCGGCCAGAAUGGUGCGACCUCAUUAGUUAUUCACUAUCAAAUUUAAUUAAGAAGGAAAACAGGUCACUGAUGACCAAUUUCUACAUAGACAUUAAAAACUCAUUAAUAAUUAGUUCUUUGUAGGUUUGCAUGGCGAUAAAACAUACAACAAUACUAUUGUUUGUAGAAACACCACGUAAUAAAUUUACGUGGUGUUUCCACAAACAAUUAUAGUAUUAUAUCAUUAAUAAUUCAUUAGGAAAAGACAAUGGAAAUCACUGCCGUGUAUAGGUGGUUUUAUAAGUAAUAAAAAAUCAUGCUCAUUCACAUAUAGUUCAGCUUUGCUUUCUCGGCUUAGACAACGUUUACUUUUAAAAUGACUUCGUCAAUAAACUCAUCAGAUGGGUCGUUUUUUAAGUACUACUUAA
This is a non-coding RNA of Paramuricea clavata, 1442 nucleotides long. The record is from the annotation of a GenBank genome assembly. NCBI's taxonomy places the organism in Eukaryota, Metazoa, Cnidaria, Anthozoa, Malacalcyonacea, Plexauridae.